UACAAAACCGAUAUUUCUUUACCUCCUAAACUACAAGAGAAACAGGGGAGGGACAAACGUAUAUAGGAAAUAGGAGAGGAAGAAGACAGGCUAAAUCCCCCUUACGUGAUUUUUCUUCCCCAGGAGCGAGACAGGGGCCGAGGGGAAGGCAGGCGAGGCCCUCGGAUCUUCAGAGACAACGGAAGGCUUCUCCUCUCCUCUCCAGCACCGCCUCCUCCACCAGCGCCGCCACCACGACCUCCACCACCACGGACGCCACCACAGGAAGAAAGAGUAUUCCUUGACACACCCCUGGGCCUUAAACCGCCGAGUGCGACUUUCAGAACCUCAGCCUCAUGGAAACACAGCUCAGAAAUGAACAACGGUUACUCUGACAGUUUGUUCAGCGAAAGAGCAAACCGGACGCAACGCCUGCCUGCUCGACCUACACCACAUGUCUGGCUAGUAUCCGUGGGGGAUGUAUUUUCGACAAGUAUGUGGGUGUGUGUGUACGGAUAUACUACAAGCAGAUGAAGAC
Molecule: long non-coding RNA, 517 nt
Organism: Penaeus chinensis
Lineage: Eukaryota; Metazoa; Arthropoda; Malacostraca; Decapoda; Penaeidae
Exons: 3
Source: RefSeq, a predicted model, not a curated record